AAGUCGAGCGGCAGCGGGAAGUAGUUUACUACUUUGCCGGCGAGCGGCGGACGGGUGAGUAAUGUCUGGGAAACUGCCUGAUGGAGGGGGAUAACUACUGGAAACGGUAGCUAAUACCGCAUGACCUCGCAAGAGCAAAGAGGGGGACCUUCGGGCCUCACGCCAUCGGAUGUGCCCAGAUGGGAUUAGCUAGUAGGUGGGGUAAUGGCUCACCUAGGCGACGAUCCCUAGCUGGUCUGAGAGGAUGACCAGCCACACUGGAACUGAGACACGGUCCAGACUCCUACGGGAGGCAGCAGUGGGGAAUAUUGCACAAUGGGCGCAAGCCUGAUGCAGCCAUGCCGCGUGUGUGAAGAAGGCCUUCGGGUUGUAAAGCACUUUCAGCGAGGAGGAAGGCAGUCGUGUUAAUAGCACGGUUGAUUGACGUUACUCGCAGAAGAAGCACCGGCUAACUCCGUGCCAGCAGCCGCGGUAAUACGGAGGGUGCAAGCGUUAAUCGGAAUUACUGGGCGUAAAGCGCACGCAGGCGGUUUGUUAAGUCAGAUGUGAAAUCCCCGCGCUUAACGUGGGAACUGCAUUUGAAACUGGCAAGCUAGAGUCUUGUAGAGGGGGGUAGAAUUCCAGGUGUAGCGGUGAAAUGCGUACAGAUCUGGAGGAAACCGGUGGCGAAGCGGCCCCCUGGACAAGACUGACGCUCACGUGCGAAAGCGUGUGGAGCAAACAGGAUUAGAUACCCUGGUAGUCCACGCUGUAAACGAUGUCGACUUGGAGGUUGUGCCCUUGAGGCAUGGCUCUCGGAGCUAACGC
Molecule: ribosomal RNA, 807 nt
Filed under: Yersinia sp. UA-JF4208
Lineage: Bacteria; Pseudomonadati; Pseudomonadota; Gammaproteobacteria; Enterobacterales; Yersiniaceae
Description: bacterial SSU rRNA
Rfam family: Bacterial small subunit ribosomal RNA
Source: RNAcentral